Molecule: ribosomal RNA, 253 nt
Filed under: uncultured bacterium
Lineage: Bacteria
Description: partial 16S ribosomal RNA
Rfam family: Bacterial small subunit ribosomal RNA
Source: RNAcentral
UACAGAGGGUGCGAGCGUUGUUCGGAAUUAUUGGGCGUAAAGGGCGCGUAGGCGGUGCGGUAAGUCACCUGUGAAAUCUCCUGGCUCAACUGGGAGCUUGCAGGCGAAACUGCCGUGCUGGAGUGUGGGAGAGGUGCGUGGAAUUCCCGGUGUAGCGGUGAAAUGCGCAGAUAUCGGGAGGAACACCUGUGGCGAAAGCGGCGCACUGGACCACAACUGACGCUGAGGCGCGAAAGCUAGGGGAGCAAACAGG